UUUAGGGAGACCUACACCCCUCAGAAAUCGAAAAGCAAACAGUUAUAUAGAUACUGAGUUGGUCUAACCUAGGUCGGUCGCAGACAUUUGCAAUAUGUUCAACGCUUUCAAACUAUGAUGAAGGUUCGAAAUGGGCUAUUAGCUCAAGUGGUUAGAGCGCACCCCUGAUAAGGGUGAGGUCCCUGGUUCGAGUCCAGGAUGGCCCACCUGAAUCAACUAAAAAGGUAAAAUGUAAAAUUAAAAAUUGAAGAUGACUUCAAGAAAUUUUUAAUUCUCUAUUUUUAAUUUUUAAUUAUUGAUGGGGGUUUAGCUCAGUUGGUAGAGCGCCUGCUUUGCAAGCAGGAUGUCAGCGGUUCGAGUCCGCUAACCUCCACCUGUGGGAAUUGCCAUUCAUAAAAAUAAAAAAUUGUGAGAGUUCCAGCAACAUGACUUUGGUGUCAGACUGCUGAGUUGAAUCUCAGCCAGAACCUUGAAAACUGCAUAGUAACGCGAAAUUAGCAGGCAGACACAGACAUUCUUUAUGAGAUGUUGAGUGAAUGCAAUCAUGUGAAACACUAAAUGAAUUGAGU
RNAcentral lists this transfer RNA (569 nucleotides) under Nostoc sp. SV1-VF1. RNAcentral's name for it is "16S-23S ribosomal RNA intergenic spacer". The stretch from base 301 to 373 matches the Rfam family "tRNA". Lineage: Bacteria; Bacillati; Cyanobacteriota; Cyanophyceae; Nostocales; Nostocaceae. The record is from RNAcentral.